AACGUAGGGUGCAAGCGUUGUCCGGAAUUACUGGGUGUAAAGGGAGCGCAGGCGGACCGGCAAGUUGGAAGUGAAAACUAUGGGCUCAACUCAUAAAUUGCUUUCAAAACUGCUGGCCUUGAGUAGUGCAGAGGUAGGUGGAAUUCCCGGUGUAGCGGUGGAAUGCGUAGAUAUCGGGAGGAACACCAGUGGCGAAGGCGACCUACUGGGCACCAACUGACGCUGAGGCUCGAAAGCAUGGGUAGCAAACAGG
This 253-nucleotide ribosomal RNA is filed under the name Gemmiger formicilis. Its description in RNAcentral is "partial 16S ribosomal RNA". It matches the Rfam family "Bacterial small subunit ribosomal RNA", at positions 524 to 776 of the family's 1533-position model. The record is from RNAcentral. Lineage: Bacteria; Bacillati; Bacillota; Clostridia; Eubacteriales; Oscillospiraceae.